UACGGAGGGUGCAAGCGUUGUUCGGAAUUACUGGGCGUAAAGGGCGCGUAGGUGGUUGUGUAAGUCAGAUGUGAAAUCCCGAGGCUCAACUUCGGAACUGCAUCUGAUACUGCACGACUCGAGUACAGCAGAGGGAAACGGAAUUCCUGGUGUAGAGGUGAAAUUCGUAGAUAUCAGGAGGAACACCGGUGGCGAAGGCGGUUUCCUGGGCUGAUACUGACACUGAGGCGCGAAAGCGUGGGGAGCAAACAGGAUUAGAUACCCUGGUAGUCCACGCUGUAAACGGUGAGUACUGGGUGUGGGAGGUGUAAUGCCUUCUGUGCCGAAGCUAACGCGUUAAGUACUCCGCCUGGGGAGUACGGCCGCAAGGUUGAA
RNAcentral lists this ribosomal RNA (375 nucleotides) under uncultured Pseudomonadota bacterium. RNAcentral describes it as "bacterial SSU rRNA". It matches the Rfam family "Bacterial small subunit ribosomal RNA", at positions 524 to 898 of the family's 1533-position model. The record is from RNAcentral. Lineage: Bacteria; Pseudomonadati; Pseudomonadota.